This is a long non-coding RNA of Sesamum indicum (sesame), 848 nucleotides long. RefSeq lists it as uncharacterized. The record is from RefSeq and is a predicted model, not a curated record. Lineage: Eukaryota; Viridiplantae; Streptophyta; Magnoliopsida; Lamiales; Pedaliaceae.
UCUAUUCUCAGCACCACUGGAAUAUUCAUGAAGGAUGAUCUCUCUUCAGUCUUCAGUCAGUAUCUUAAUUGGGAAGAAAGUCAAAACACACAAAUACACACACUUAUAGAUAUAGUGAGAGAAAGCGGAGAAUAAAGAGAGAGAAAAUGUGCGGGUUGCCUUGUGAUGUUGAGACUUUGAUGUCAUAAGUUACAUGCUCGUGAAUGGAGGAGGUGAAAAAUCAGGCAUUCAACAUGUACAUAGAGGAGUGCUUUUCACUCUGCCUGGCCUUCUCCGGCACCAAGAAGCUUUUUUGGUGGAGAAGAUUUUCUUGGCGAUGAUAACAGACAUACACUUACCAGCGAGGAAGACGUCAAAGGAUCCAAACAAGCACUAUUGUUCCAGUCAUGCAUAGAAACAUUUAUUGUGGACGUCUUCAUUUCAGAGGGCUUCGUCUCUGCUUCAUUCAUCCAGAGGGCGUCAUGCAAGCCGGUUGUGGCUGCUGGUACUAACUCCAAAGAUUUCAUGGCCGCACUCAAAAUCAUGAUCAGAUAUACCUGCGUGGUUGGCCAUACGGCUGGAGAAGCCUAUGCUUGCACAGCUUCUUACACUCCUAGGGGAAGGGACAAGCUUGACGCGGAGAUUAGAGCUGUCGUUCAGUCCCUUAUAGACAAUGGAAUUGAUGUCUAAUUGAUCUUGAUCGACCAGUUUGUGAGUCUUCAUUCGUUUAGCGACGCCAACAUACAUGCAUUUUUUUAUAUUUUAUCGCGCUUGUCAAUUAUAUCUUAGUAUAAUAAAAAGCAGUACUAAAAAAGACGUGUGAUUAAUUAUUUCAAUAAUAUGGGUGAUUUUGUAAUUUAAUAACAAUG